AUACGGAGGGUGCAAGCGUUAAUCGGAAUUACUGGGCGUAAAGGGCGCGUAGGCGGUCUAUCAAGUCAGGUGUGAAAUCCCACGGCUCAACCGUGGAGGUGCAUCCGAAACUGAUAGACUUGAGUAUGGGAGAGGAAAGUGGAAUUCCCGGUGUAGAGGUGAAAUUCGUAGAUAUCGGGAGGAACACCAGUGGCGAAGGCGACUUUCUGGACCAAUACUGACGCUGAGGCGCGAAAGCGUGGGGAGCAAACAGGAUUAGAAACCCCAGUAGUCC
Molecule: ribosomal RNA, 274 nt
Filed under: uncultured bacterium
Lineage: Bacteria
Description: partial 16S ribosomal RNA
Rfam family: Bacterial small subunit ribosomal RNA
Source: RNAcentral